GAUGAAGAACGUAGCAAAAUGCGAUAAGUAAUGUGAAUUGCAGAAUUCAGUAAAUCAUCGAAUCUUUGAACGCACAUUGCGCCCGCCAGUAUUCUGGCGGGCAUGCCUGUUCGCGCGUCAUUUCAACCCUCAAGCACAGCUUGGUGUUGGGACUCGCGUUAAUUCGCGUUCCCCAAAUUGAUUGGCGGUCACGUCGAGCUUCCAUAGCGUAGUAGUAAAACCCUCGUUACUGGUAAUCGUCGCGGCCACGCCGUUAAACCCCAACUUCUGAAUGUUGACCUCGGAUCAGGUAGGAAUACCCGCUGAACUUAAGCAUAUCAAUAAGCGGAGGA
RNAcentral lists this unclassified non-coding RNA (332 nucleotides) under soil metagenome. Its description in RNAcentral is "partial contains 5.8S ribosomal RNA, internal transcribed spacer 2, and large subunit ribosomal RNA". The stretch from base 1 to 120 matches the Rfam family "5.8S ribosomal RNA", at positions 35 to 154 of the family's 154-position model. The record is from RNAcentral.